CCUACGGGUGGCAGCAGUGAGGAAUAUUGGUCAAUGGGCGCAAGCCUGAACCAGCCAAGCCGCGUGAGGGAAGACGGCCCUAUGCGUCGCAAACCUCUUUUGCCGGGGAGCAAAAGACCGCACGCGUGCCGUCCCGAGAGUACCCGUAGAAAAAGCAUCGGCUAACUCCGUGCCAGCAGCCGCGGUAAUACGGAGGAUGCGAGCGUUAUCCGGAUUUAUUGGGUUUAAAGGGUGCGCAGGCGGAAGAUCAAGGCAGCGGUAAAAUGGAGGGGCUCAACCUCGCCGAGCCGUUGAAACUGGUGGUCUUGAGUGCGUGAGAGGUAUGCGGAAUGCGUGGUGUAGCGGUGAAAUGCAUAGAUAUCACGCAGAACCCCGAUUGCGAAGGCAGCAUACCGGGGCGCAACUGACGCUGAGGCACGAAAGUGUGGGGAUCGAACAGGAUUAGAUACCCUAGUAGUC
Molecule: ribosomal RNA, 459 nt
Filed under: uncultured bacterium
Lineage: Bacteria
Description: partial 16S ribosomal RNA
Rfam family: Bacterial small subunit ribosomal RNA
Source: RNAcentral